RNAcentral lists this ribosomal RNA (434 nucleotides) under uncultured Lachnospiraceae bacterium. RNAcentral's name for it is "partial 16S ribosomal RNA". It matches the Rfam family "Bacterial small subunit ribosomal RNA", at positions 341 to 792 of the family's 1533-position model. The record is from RNAcentral. Lineage: Bacteria; Bacillati; Bacillota; Clostridia; Lachnospirales; Lachnospiraceae.
ACGGGAGGCAGCAGUGGGGGAUAUUGCACAAUGGGGGAAACCCUGAUGCAGCGACGCCGCGUGAGCGAAGAAGUAUUUCGGUAUGUAAAGCUCUAUCAGCAGGGAAGAAAAUGACGGUACCUGACUAAGAAGCUCCGGCUAAAUACGUGCCAGCAGCCGCGGUAAUACGUAUGGAGCAAGCGUUAUCCGGAUUUACUGGGUGUAAAGGGUGCGCAGGCGGCAAAGUAAGUCAGAAGUGAAAGCCCGUGGCUCAACUGCGGGACUGCUUUUGAAACUGCUAAGCUAGAGUACUGGAGGGGUAAGCGGAAUUCCUAGUGUAGCGGUGAAAUGCGUAGAUAUUAGGAAGAACACCGGAGGCGAAGGCGGCUUACUGGACAGAAACUGACGCUCAGGCACGAAGGCGUGGGGAGCAAACAGGAUUAGAUACCCUGGUA